ACCUCUGCAAUAGGCGAAAGCCUGACAGGGUUACUCUGAGUGACUUUCGCUAAGAAAGUCUUUUGGCACCUCUAAAAAGGGUGCAGAAUAAGGGGUGGGCAAGUCUGGUGUCAGCCGCCGCGGUAAUACCAGCACCCCGAGUGGUCGGGACGAUUAUUGGGCCUAAAGCAUCCGUAGCCGGUUCUGCAAGUCCCCCGUUAAAUCCAGCUGCUCAACAGAUGGGCCGCGGAGGAUACUACAGAGCUAGGAGGCAGGAGAGGCAAGCGGUACUCAGUGGGUAGGGGUAAAAUCCGUUGAUCCAUUGAAGACCACCAGUGGCGAAGGCGGCUUGCCAGAAUGCGCUCGACGGUGAGGGAUGAAAGCUGGGGGAGCAAACCGGAUUAGAUACCCGGGUAGUCCCAGCCGUAAACGAUGCAGACUCGGUGAUGGGUUGGCUUCGCGCUAACCCAGUGCCGCAGGGAAGCCGUUAAGUCUGCCGCCUGGGUAGUACGGUCGCAAGACUGAAACUUAA
RNAcentral lists this ribosomal RNA (511 nucleotides) under uncultured archaeon. Its description in RNAcentral is "bacterial SSU rRNA". It matches the Rfam family "Archaeal small subunit ribosomal RNA", at positions 346 to 859 of the family's 1478-position model. The record is from RNAcentral.